This is a long non-coding RNA of Mauremys mutica (yellowpond turtle), 348 nucleotides long. RefSeq lists it as uncharacterized. The transcript has 3 exons. Lineage: Eukaryota; Metazoa; Chordata; Testudines; Geoemydidae. The record is from RefSeq and is a predicted model, not a curated record.
CAAGACUUGAAAGAAGCCACAUCCUCAAGUACCUUGCUGAAUUGGGGCCCAUGUGCCCAAGCUUACUGAGUGAUUUAAGUCUGGCACACCAGGACCCUGAUUGGGGGGGACGGGACGGCUGAGAGCUGCUGUAAUGGUAGAAAGUUAUCAUGGACCAAAUACCUGAUACUCUUCACCAACAAUAAAUGAUUUCCAUCCUUCAAACGGAACAUGCAGAUGCAAACAAGUAGGAGCAGCCUCAGGCCAUCUUGAACCGAACAGCUCUCCUACGCUUCACGCCCUUUUUCCAGGAUUACCCGUGCAGGUGCCAUAGCGUGGCAAGCAUGGAGCCUGCUCAGAUCUCCGCUG